Molecule: long non-coding RNA, 4676 nt
Organism: Felis catus (domestic cat)
Lineage: Eukaryota; Metazoa; Chordata; Mammalia; Carnivora; Felidae
Exons: 3
Source: RefSeq, a predicted model, not a curated record
UGAUGUCCCAGUUUUAUUUUACAAUGUCGAUGUGUGCGCUACCCGGGCAUCAGAUCCCACAGCCGUGUUUGCGUUUUAACUAAAAUACUCCACGGCGAUGGGGAGGAGAUGAGGUGGAUGGGCAGGUCAGUAGUUGGAGACACAGCACGAGGGCCCUGGGGGGAGGGGCUCCCCCAGGUUCAGGCCCCGCCCCUGACAGGCAGCACCCGCUGUGGGGGCUGGGGGCAGCCCAUCUCCAGGUCCUUUCUGCUGACACACGAGGGGCGGGGGAUGGGCCAGGCCCCCUGCCAGAUGCUCCCCGGACACCUCCUCCAGGACCCCACAGACACCCACAGGGCAGACGCUGUCCUCGCUCCCCGCCCACCCGCCUUCCCGGUGGGGAAACCGAGGCCUGGACCUGCCCUGGGCUACACCUGCUGAGCCCAGAGGCCCCUCCCCCACACGCAGCAGGCAGCAGAAAAUGAGCAAGGGCCGCCCAGACCCCCUCUGCUCCGAGCUCUCCAACAGCAGCCCCAGGCACUUCCCGAACAAGAUAAAUUAACUGAAUCUUCCAGAGACUCCGCGAACCUGCAUCAUCUCCGCUUUCCUCAUAAACUUUAGCAGCUUCCAUGCAAUUAAUUACCAGGACGAAGCGCAGCAUCAGAAGCCUCUCUGGUCACGAGGCUUCCACUUGCUCCCACACAGUUAACCCGCUUCCUCCCCCACCUUGGAGAGCCUCAGCAUUUGCCUGUCAGCCCCUAAUCACCGCCAGUCUCGCUCAUUAGCAAGCGUCCUUGGGCUGUGCCUGUCCUGCUGCUCCUGGUGAGCUCAGCAGUCACUCAGAGGCCAGCCCAGGGUGACCUGGACAGAAGGGACGGGCAGCCCAGGACGUGGCGGGACGGCGACCUUGCGGGUGCGUGAAGGCUCUGGGGUCCUGACGGCGUCCCGAGGGGACUAAGACACUCGUCAUGGCAGCAGAACUUACGGUCAGCCUCCCUCUCUUCCUCCCAAGACGAAGGCUGAUGUUUGGCACCCUCUUUGCUCGACAUUGCGAUAGUCCCCGGAAGGCCCCACGAUGUGCCCGGAGUCAUCGUUCACCGGUGCCGGAGACUCGAGCCCGUCUCAGCCUGAAUCUAUUUGGAAUAGAAGUGCUGCUGACAAGGCAAGGGUGACAACACGGUAUGAUGACCUGGAUGGGGCCGUGUUAUGAAAACCAGGGCUCUGUUCUUCACGAAUGCUUUCCCUGAAGACACCUAAUGGGGUUGCACACCCAUGUGUCCUCAAGACCAGACAGGACACAUAACCUGUAAAACAGCGGAGUAUAGGAGAACUGGUGUCGUAGGGGGGGGGGGGGUCAACCUUGAUCCACCUGAAAGUAUGACACUUUAACAGAUAAUUUCAGAACUUGUGGAGUCCAAGCAAAGCUGUUUUGAGGGCCAGACAUUCACAGCCUGUUUCCAUAGGGAGACCCUGGAGGCUCCAAGAGGGUCAGGAACUUCCUUGAGGCCACACAGUGGGUCUGGGACAGCCCCGGGAACAGAGCCAGGCAUCCCGUGGCCAAAGAGCCCAAGACUUGCCUGCUGGCUGUCUCCUCAGCCUCGUUCUCCCGCCUCUGAACACACACACUCAGCCAGGUGCUGGACUCCUGCCGCGUGCCUCAGAGACCACAGAGAGUGGGGGACCCUCUUCUCGGACAGACCUUCUGUCACUGCCACUACCCUGUGACCCGGCCCCUCCUCCGUACAGAGACCGUCUCCCAAGUAUCUGGAGACCCAGCAAGCGGGAGAGCCGUGGGGCAAACGCGUGGGCGUCGGAUCCCAGAUGGAAGAAUGUCGCACCGAGAUGUGGUUGAGCUGGGAAAACGUGUCCGGGAGGCAGACGCUCUGACCGGACACAAGGCUGACGGUUCCUCGGACGACUGUGUGAGGCUUCCGCUGCAGACGUCUUAGCAUCUUGCCGGGAGCCUCUGCUGCUCACUUCCCUUCACUGCAGGGGAGCAGACAGAGAGGCUCGGGUGCUCAGGUGCCGAACGGACAGAGCCCCGAGGACGCGCCAUGUCCCCUGUAGCCAGAGUAGGUGGUUUCCAGGAAUAGACUUGGAUUCCUACGGUUUCACCUCCAAAUUCUCGUGUGUGUGCAUGUGUGCGUGUGCAUGUGCAUGUGCGUGUGCGUGGAGGACGCUGUGUUUCCGUGUGUGCCCUCCAAAACAAACUCCCAGGACAACUGGGCUGGGAAGUGCCGUGUCUCUCCCUCCCUGUUUGAGAUUCAUAAACACAUUAGCUCAUAAAAUCUCUGAGCAACCCAGUGUCCUCUAGAAGAGGAGAAGAGAGAGGUUCCCCGUGGUCAGGCCAGAGCUCCCCAGGGUGCUAUUGAACUUGGGGCUCUUUAUACAGAAUGACUAAGAGCUCUGGGAAACGCUGAUCCAGAGCAAGUUUUUAAAUCUUCGUUAUUAGUAUGAGAGUUUCUUCCAAUUCCCCAUCCCCGAGCAGACCCUGACAUGGCAUUGAAAAAUACCAGGCAGGUUUGUCUUUGUCUUAAUACGAUCUCAAGUGGCAGAAAGAAACACAACUCAAAGCAGCUCUCGCAAAUAAUAGAAUUCACUGCCUCGUAUAACAAAAACGUCGAGGGUGACGGCUUCAGACGUGGCUCGAUCCAGGGGCUCCUGUGACAGUACCGCGGUUUUGUCUUCCCUUUCUGUCUCACAAAUCUGAUUCCCUUUUCGUGCCGUGGGUCUCCAUGUGGGAUCCGAGUCUCACAAAUACCUGCAUCUUCUAGAAAGCUCAGCGCUCUUCUUUCUCAUUUAGGUGGAAAAUCAAGAGUGUCGUGCUCCGCCCAGGGCUCCGUGUCCGCCGCUGGGUGAGUCUCCAGCAGGGGAAUCUGAUGAUGCGGUUAGCUGGGCUUGGGUCACAGAGCCAUCCCAGCUGAAGGGAGGAGCCAGCCCCCACCGCCCAGAACCACAGAGGCGAUGGCGCUCCAGGGAAAAUGCAGGCCCGUUACUAGAAGGGCGUGGGUUGCGUGCGGAUCCAGCAACGCCAGCGAAUGCCCGUCAUCCUUCUCGUCCCGGAUCACCCGUGUGGCUCUGCCUGCCUCCCCGGGCCUCCUCGGGCUGGACCCCGUCUUCCGUGUCUGCAGGCCACACCCGGCCCGUUCCCCCCGCUGUCCUCCCAGUGUGUGUGUGACACCUGCUCAGUGAGACCAGCUCUCGGGACCUGCAUCUCCACUGGCACCUGCUCUGUGACGCCAGCUCCUGGCACACACGCCCACGGCUCCCAGGAGUCCCAUUGGCACUUACUGGGCAGGAGAAUGAAUGACUGAACGGAACUGGACACGAGUCAAGGCAGUUUUCUGCUCAGUGAGCGGUGGUGGAGGGAGUGAACGAGGCCGCCCGCGGGGACAUCCACUGCGGAGGAGGUGGCCUGACCCCGGCCACUGGUCAGGGCCCCCAGGGCUGUCCCCAGAUGCGGGGGUGCCCUCUCCCGGGGAGCCCCAGGCUCUUGGCCGUCCUGAUGCUCUGGAAAGAAGUGAAAUAGCAGAGGAGCUGGUUUCUCUCCGGAAUUCCUGGAGUCACAUCUCAUAACUCUGGUGGCUGAGGGCCUGUUUUCAGGCAGCGUCUGCCAGACGCCGGCCAGAAACUGUGUGAGGAGUCCACAAGGCAGACUCCCGCGGUGGAGUUCUAGAAACUUCUAGAAACUUCUAGAACUCCUCCUCCUCCCAAGGCUUCCUCCUGGCUUUCUGUGGGCCAUGGCAGGGAGUUGGGCAGUUGUGAGUGACCCAGCCAGACUGUCCGUGGAAACCCUCGGGUUAUUUUCGGCACCUGAUAGUAACUUCCAGACACCGAGGUGGUGGGGGGUUCCGUGUUGUCCUACAGCCUCCGACCUCUGACCGGGUUGUGCGAAGCCAGGUCGAGCAGCUGGGGGCCUGCCUGGUCACCGUCACACCCUGUACUGGGAGGGCCUCAGAGUGGCCCGAGUCGAGGGCGUGUGCACAUUGGGACCACCUCGGAUCGCCUUGCUUAGACCUGACCGGGUUCCAUCUGUGGGGGGGGUUGACGUGCCAGACCCAGGGCAGGAUCUUUACUCCCUGCUCAGCUUGGCCCUGGCACCCUCCCGUCCGCAAACUGGCCCCAGGACUCUGUCUGACCGAGCGAGCGUGCAGCCCGCCGGCCUUCUGGUUCCUGCACCGGGACAUGCGUGGGUGGGGGCGGCAGUGUCCCCAUAUGCUCUCGAGCCCCCAUGCAGGGUGCCCUUCCAGGACCACCUCCUCCUUGAGUGUGUCAUAGAUAAAUAGGUGUCCCAGCUGGAAUGAGGCUUCCGGAACAAGAGGGGACGUGUGAGCAAGCGCACCCUGCGGCCGGCGGGCUGGGUGCACAGGGGACCCUCGCCCGGGGGCCAGGCUGGGGGCAGGGAAGGGGCCUGAGGUAUGAGAACACAGAGGGCCUUCUCAGGGCGCCCGUCCCGCUGGCCUGAAAUUUUGUCAUGGACGGUCAUUUCCAUGUUCCAGAAUUUAAAAUAAAGUAUUUGAAAUGCCCGCAACUCUUACGAUUCCCAAGCACCCACAUAAUUAAAGUUGCUUUAGCUACACUGCAUCUUUUCUGAUCUGAAAGCAAAAGCAGUAAAUAUGUCAGCCGCAAAUCGAUAAGACAAUUAUUCUGUAAUGAAUCCCAAACACCGUGAAUUAAACUGACAAGUGGCUACGGGC